AACCAAAGGGGGCGAGCGUAAGCAGCUCUCACCGAAGGAGGAGCCUGCGUCCGAUUAGCUAGUUGGUGGGGUAAUGGCCUACCAAGGCGACGAUCGGUAGCCGGCCUGAGAGGGCGAUCGGCCACACUGGAACUGAGACACGGUCCAGACUCCUACGGGAGGCAGCAGUGGGGAAUAUUGCGCAAUGGGCGAAAGCCUGACGCAGCGACGCCGCGUGGGUGAUGAAGGCCUUCGGGUCGUAAAGCCCUGUCUGGUGGAACGAAACGCCUGGCGGCCAAUACCCGCUGGGUUUGACGGUACCACCGAAGGAAGCCCCGGCUAACUACGUGCCAGCAGCCGCGGUAAGACGUAGGGGGCGAGCGUUGUUCGGAUUUACUGGGCGUAAAGCGCGCGUAGGCGGCCAGAUAAGUCGGGUGUGAAAGCCCUCGGCUCAACCGAGGUUCCGCAUCCGAUACUGCUUGGCUGGAGUCUAGGAGAGGAGAGCGGAAUUCCCAGUGUAGCGGUGAAAUGCGUAGAUAUUGGGAGGAACACCCGUGGCGAAGGCGGCUCUCUGGACUAGUACUGACGCUGAGGCGCGAAAGCUAGGGGAGCGAACGGGAUUAGAUACCCCGGUAGUCCUAGCCGUAAACGAUGGGCACUAGGUGUGGGAGGUAUUGACCCCUUCCGCGCCGAAGCUAACGCAUUAAGUGCCCCGCCUGGGGAGUACGGCCGCAAGGCUAAAACUCAAAGGAAUUGACGGGGGCCCGCACAAGCGGUGGAGCAUGUGGUUCAAUUCGACGCAACGCGAAGAACCUUACCAGGGCUUGACAUCCCACGAACCUGCCUGAAAGGGCGGGGUGCCCGCAAGGGAGCGCGGAGA
RNAcentral lists this ribosomal RNA (859 nucleotides) under uncultured Methylomirabilota bacterium. Its description in RNAcentral is "bacterial SSU rRNA". It matches the Rfam family "Bacterial small subunit ribosomal RNA", at positions 199 to 1034 of the family's 1533-position model. The record is from RNAcentral. Lineage: Bacteria; Methylomirabilota (SeqCode).